Non-coding RNA from Phalacrocorax carbo (great cormorant), 896 nucleotides. The record is from RefSeq and is a predicted model, not a curated record. NCBI's taxonomy places the organism in Eukaryota, Metazoa, Chordata, Aves, Suliformes, Phalacrocoracidae.
GCCGCGCCCCCCCCCUCAAAAAAAAAAAAAAGUUGAGACACUCCCCUCCAUCCGCUGAGCACGGAGGCGUUGGAGUCGCUGCCGCGUCUGGCUCCUCCCCUGCAAAAAAAGUCUAGGCCAUGUGUAGCUUCGGCACCUGGUGAUUCUUACGGUGAGGCCUUCCCCUGCCUCCGGCUUGCACAGAGGUGUGGCGGGGGGCUCUGCCCACCCCCCCCCUCCGCCUCCAACCGACCGUGCAUCGGCGCGGAGGCUCGGCUUCCACGAGCCUCUCCUCCAGCAAAACACGAAAGUUGCGUGCGUAGGUGUUCAGUAAUAGUGAAAUUUGAGUUGCUUGCAGGCCGCCUGAGUUUGCACGCUUGUCUGAUGAGGACACAGUGACUUGUGAUCUGCAUUGUCAGUCACGUCGAAAAAGUGCAUAAAGCUUGUGCUUCAUUUCAGGAUGACGUCUCCCAAGAUGGGUCCCCUUUGUGACGUGAUGUUGGCUGGAAAUCAAGGUGCUAAUGAAGAAAGAGGAACCUCUUGCAUAUCUUUUCCUUCCCCACCCCUGCCAACGUACACAUUGCAACAGUCCCUUGACACUUAAUGAGCUUUUUGUCCUUAUGUUUGAAUUUUUUUUUUAAUGAGGCUAAUGCCAAAACCCUUUUUUGUUGGUGAUGCUAAGACCUGAGAGCUGUAAAUGGUAUUGCCUGUUGCUAAAGUGUAUUAUAUUGAUAUCUUUUGUUAUUCAUUACUGCUGACCUCUAAUAUGGAAGGAUCAAUAUGCUGCUGCCAGAUAUUCACCCACAGAUCUUCUAUGUGAUUAAAUAAGCUCCCAUGAAACUUACAAACUUGCCAAUCUGUUAAAAGGUCUCCCUUCUGGUAAAAAAAAUAAAGUGAAAGUUAAAAGAUAUGCUUAA